This is an RNA transcript of Octopus sinensis (East Asian common octopus), 703 nucleotides long. It is a transcript of the gene named glutaredoxin-like protein C5orf63 homolog, with no coding region annotated. NCBI's taxonomy places the organism in Eukaryota, Metazoa, Mollusca, Cephalopoda, Octopoda, Octopodidae. The transcript is spliced from 4 exons. The record is from RefSeq and is a predicted model, not a curated record.
CCUUCAAACGAAUCAUUGGCUUAUUUUGCUCCCGGAGUUCCGUUUCGAGCAAAGCUAAACCGACUCUGACUAUGUUCACCAAGGAAGAAUGUAGUUUGUGUGCAGAAGCCAAAGAAGCGCUGAUUCCAUUCAUGGAUAAAGAAGAACACCGGAUAAAUGAACACUGAACAACCUUGAAUGGAUAACCUAGUACUCGAGUUUCGGACUUUCCAGAAUACGUUUGUUAUCAUAAAUCUGGCAAAUCAGCCGAAUAUACGUCAUUGAUGUAAUGGAGAGUUCAAAUUUCAUCUUCGGUGAACCUAGCUGAAGAAGACUAACCAGAUUUACAAUAACAAACAUAUUUUGCAAAGUCCAAAACUCAAGGUUGUUCAUUUAUCUGGCAUUCUUCCCAGAGAUCCAUGUGCCAACUUUGGUCAGUCCAGAGAUGUAGCAGAAGACACUUUCCAAAUGCACUGUACAGUGGAACUGAACUAAGACUACAUGGAAGCAAGUGUCUUAACUAUACCACCAUGCCUGCACCUAACUUCCACAACUAAUGCAUAUACAUAUAUGUAUGUAUGUUUGUAUGCAUGGAUGGCUGGCUGGAUGGAUGGCUGGCUGGCUGGAUGGAUGUAUGUGUAUCAAUCAAUCUAUCAAGUAUUUGUGUUUUACCUACCACUGGUUGAGAACUGGUAUUAGUUUGUGUCCCCAGAAUUUAAUAUAU